RNAcentral lists this ribosomal RNA (253 nucleotides) under uncultured bacterium. RNAcentral's name for it is "partial 16S ribosomal RNA". It matches the Rfam family "Bacterial small subunit ribosomal RNA", at positions 524 to 776 of the family's 1533-position model. The record is from RNAcentral.
UACGAAGGGGGCUAGCGUUGUUCGGAAUUACUGGGCGUAAAGCGCGUGUAGGCGGGCCGUUAAGUCGGGGGUGAAAGCCCAGAACUCAACUCUGGAAUUGCCUUCGAUACUGGCGGCCUGGAGCACGGUAGAGGCGAGUGGAAUUGCGAGUGUAGAGGUGAAAUUCGUAGAUAUUCGCAGGAACACCAGUGGCGAAGGCGACUCGCUGGAUCAUUGCUGACGCUGAGACGCGAAAGCGUGGGGAGCAAACAGG